CUUCAUGCUUCAAGCUCUUAAAGGACGUUUCAAAACGCUCUCUUAAAGAAACAACCAACCCUUUUCAAGUCAAAACAAGGGCCUCCCUUUGGCUGCAUGGCUGCUGUUGGAAUCACACACUGCAGCACUCUGGGCCAAGCUACUGAAGAGCACACUUCCUGACAGGAAAUAAAACAAAAGAAAAAGAUUUCCACUUAGGCUCUCAGAUCUCAUGUUAUGGGAUCACGCAGACAAGAAAGUGAGAAGGAAAGCUCAACAAUGCACAAUUGUAAUAAUGGGUUAUGGUUGGAAUCUGGACACUUGAUUCUUCCUCAUAACGAUCAUUUCUGAUCUGCCAUUACAACUCUUUAGGAAGACACAUUCGGAAGGAUUAUAUUAAACCAUGACAUCUAAAUACUCCUAUUCAAGUUCUUUUCCUCUAAACGUAUUUUGUCUUCUCAGCGUGCCCUAGUGUGGCAUUGACCUAAGAUUAAGAGUUGAGUUUCUGAAGACAGACCAUCAGUUGACCCGCAGCUGUUGAACUGAUUGUUUAAAGAAGACAAAUGAGUGCUGAUUAACAUCAUGAUGAUGUCUUAAUGUCUGUCUUUUGUCUGCCUAUUCAGAAUGGCCCCUUUCAUUUGCUGAUGACCAAGACUAUUGGCAAAGUAUUGUGAGUGAGCCUUAACUAAAGGCUUGGAGCCCUAACAGGAACAGAGCUUGUUGGAUAAUCAUGUUAAUUGAAUUUGACAGUCCUGAUUAAUGUUUGGCAAAAGAGUUUUUGGUAAUGGGGAUCAAAGAAAGAUUGACGUUACUGAGCAAUGGAGCCGAUAAACUGGCAAAGGCUCUCUGAGUUUUCUUAUUGAUGGUUCAUCAAAGAGAGAUUAAGUUCUACAGUGAUCUUUACAUGAUUUACCGACUCUCCAGAAUAACUGAUUCUGACUUGUAGUCAAUCUCACGUUUUACCGUUACUCAUGGCAACACACUGGUGCUACUAGCACAAAAAUAAUCUUAGAGAAAUGUUGCCAAAAAGUAUCCCAUAUCAUUUCAUUCUAGAAAGGCAUUUACAUAAUAUAGUUGUAUGUAGUCUUCUCUCAUCUCCUCGCAUCUGAUUGGUCCAAUUUCAGUUUGCGAUCUCUAAUUCAGAACAUAACCUGCCCCGGAGCAGGUAUGGCAAUGAACACAGCUAGCCAAGCCACUUUCAUGGUACAGGAUUGGUGCAAACUAAACUGAAACUUACCUGGCUAGCCAGCUAAACCGGCUUCAUGGUACAGGCCCCUGAUUCAACUCUUAAAAU
This is a long non-coding RNA of Cyprinus carpio carpio, 1273 nucleotides long. The record is from Ensembl. NCBI's taxonomy places the organism in Eukaryota, Metazoa, Chordata, Actinopteri, Cypriniformes, Cyprinidae.